RNAcentral lists this ribosomal RNA (503 nucleotides) under uncultured bacterium. RNAcentral describes it as "partial 16S ribosomal RNA". It matches the Rfam family "Bacterial small subunit ribosomal RNA", at positions 30 to 523 of the family's 1533-position model. The record is from RNAcentral.
AUUGAACGCUGGCGGCAGGCUUAACACAUGCAAGUCGAGCGGGGUGAUGGUGCUUGCACUAUCACUUAGCGGCGGACGGGUGAGUAAUGCUUAGGAAUCUGCCUAUUAGUGGGGGACAACAUCUCGAAAGGGAUGCUAAUACCGCAUACGUCCUACGGGAGAAAGCAGGGGAUCACUUGUGACCUUGCGCUAAUAGAUGAGCCUAAGUCGGAUUAGCUAGUUGGUGGGGUAAAGGCCUACCAAGGCGACGAUCUGUAGCGGGUCUGAGAGGACGAUCCGCCACACUGGGACUGAGACACGGCCCAGACUCCUACGGGAGGCAGCAGUGGGGAAUAUUGGACAAUGGGGGGAACCCUGAUUCAGCCAUGCCGCGUGUGUGAAGAAGGCCUUAUGGUUGUAAAGCACUUUAAGCGAGGAGGAGGCUCUCUUGGUUAAUACCCAAGAUGAGUGGACGUUACUCGCAGAAUAAGCACCGGCUAACUCUGUGCCAGCAGCCGCCGUAA